UGGGGAAUAUUGCACAAUGGGCGCAAGCCUGAUGCAGCCAUGCCGCGUGUGUGAAGAAGGCCUUCGGGUUGUAAAGCACUUUCAGCGAGGAGGAAGGUGGUGAGCUUAAUACGCUCAUCAAUUGACGUUACUCGCAGAAGAAGCACCGGCUAACUCCGUGCCAGCAGCCGCGGUAAUACGGAGGGUGCAAGCGUUAAUCGGAAUUACUGGGCGUAAAGCGCACGCAGGCGGUUUGUUAAGUCAGAUGUGAAAUCCCCGGGCUCAACCUGGGAACUGCAUUUGAAACUGGCAAGCUAGAGUCUCGUAGAGGGGGGUAGAAUUCCAGGUGUAGCGGUGAAAUGCGUAGAGAUCUGGAGGAAUACCGGUGGCGAAGGCGGCCCCCCUGGACGAAGACUGACGCUCAGGUGCGAAAGCGUGGGGCAGCAAACAGGAUUAGAUACCCUGGUAGUCCACGCUGUAAAACGAUGUCGAUUUGGAGGUUGUGCCCUUGAGGCGUGGCUUCCGGAGCUAACGCGUUAAAUCGACCG
Molecule: ribosomal RNA, 527 nt
Filed under: uncultured bacterium
Lineage: Bacteria
Description: partial 16S ribosomal RNA
Rfam family: Bacterial small subunit ribosomal RNA
Source: RNAcentral